AGAGUUUGAUCCUGGCUCAGAACGAACGCUGGCGGCAUGCCUAACACAUGCAAGUCGAACGAGACCUUCGGGUCUAGUGGCGCACGGGUGCGUAACACGUGGGAAUCUGCCCUUAGGUUCGGAAUAACUCAGGGAAACUUGAGCUAAUACCGGAUGAUGUCUUCGGACCAAAGAUUUAUCGCCUAAGGAUGAGCCCGCGCAGGAUUAGCUAGUUGGUGAGGUAAAGGCUCACCAAGGCUACGAUCCUUAGCUGGUCUGAGAGGAUGAUCAGCCACACUGGGACUGAGACACGGCCCAGACUCCUACGGGAGGCAGCAGUGGGGAAUAUUGGACAAUGGGCGAAAGCCUGAUCCAGCAAUGCCGCGUGAGUGAUGAAGGCCUUAGGGUUGUAAAGCUCUUUUACCCGGGAUGAUAAUGACAGUACCGGGAGAAUAAGCUCCGGCUAACUCCGUGCCAGCAGCCGCGGUAAUACGGAGGGAGCUAGCGUUGUUCGGAAUUACUGGGCGUAAAGCGCACGUAGGCGGCUUUGUAAGUUAGAGGUGAAAGCCCGGGGCUCAACCCCGGAACUGCCUUUAAGACUGCAUCGCUUGAAUCCAGGAGAGGUGAGUGGAAUUCCGAGUGUAGAGGUGAAAUUCGUAGAUAUUCGGAAGAACACCAGUGGCGAAGGCGGCUCACUGGACUGGUAUUGACGCUGAGGUGCGAAAGCGUGGGGAGCGAACAGGAUUAGAUACCCUGGUAGUCC
RNAcentral lists this ribosomal RNA (742 nucleotides) under uncultured bacterium. RNAcentral's name for it is "bacterial SSU rRNA". It matches the Rfam family "Bacterial small subunit ribosomal RNA", at positions 8 to 796 of the family's 1533-position model. The record is from RNAcentral.